This 226-nucleotide ribosomal RNA is filed under the name uncultured bacterium. RNAcentral describes it as "partial 16S ribosomal RNA". It matches the Rfam family "Bacterial small subunit ribosomal RNA", at positions 524 to 748 of the family's 1533-position model. The record is from RNAcentral.
UACAGAGGGUGCGAGCGUUAAUCGGAAUUACUGGGCGUAAAGCGUGCGCAGACGGUCACGUAAGUCGGGUGUGAAGGCCCCGGGCUCAACCUGGGAAUUGCAUUCGAGACUGCGUGGCUAGGGUGCGGAAGAGGGAAGCGGAAUUUCCGGUGUAGCGGUGAAAUGGCGUAGAUAUCGGAAGGAACACCAGUGGCGAAAGCGGCUUCCUGGUCCAGCACCGACGUUC